CGGAAGGCGGAAGGCAGACAUUUUUCAAGCUUAGAAUAAAUAAAUAAUAAUUCGACGCCAUCCUGAUUAAAUACAGUUUAAUUCUUAUAUAAAAUAAUUUCCGAGCAAAGUAUAACUGUUGUGUCUCUGUGAUUCGGUGUGUACCCAUUAACAUGGAUCGGUACCACCAGUUGUUCGUCACUCCUCCACUGCAGACAACUGAGUACCUUGAACACUUUGAACAGUCACCACCGUAGCAUGAAAAUGUUGAUUGCAGAACCUUUGAUGCAGUACAUGUACUCUUAAUGGGACGUAGCAGCGGGACUGGCUGUGACGCACCUUCGCAAUCUGGAGUGGAUAUGGUGGCUGAAGUGGAACUCGACUUCCUGACCAAGACAAACUCCUCUAUAUUCAUCUGAACUACAGUACGACUCUUUGUCCAUCUGAUGUAACGAAUGCCUCACCCGAGCUGACAGUUCGAUGCCACAGUACUUGCAUUUUUCUAUCUUCGACGUUCCCGGGGCAUUGUUCAGGCUAUGGAUGGUGGAUGCAGCUCUUCCAGUCAUCGUUUGUGAAUAGUUCACAUUUUUAGCUGUGUGAUUCGGUGUGUACCCAGGAACAUGGAUCGGUACCACCAGUUGUUCGUCACUCCACCACUGCAGACAAUUGAGUACCGUGAACACUUUGAACAAUCACCACCAUAGCAUGAUAGUGUUGAUUGCAGAACCUUUGAUGCAGUACAUGUACUCGUAAUGGGACGUAGCAGGCGGACUGGCUGUGACGCACCUUCGCAAUCUGGAGUGGAUAUGGUGGCUGAAGUGGAACUCGACUUCGUGACCAAGGGAAACUACUCUAUAUUCAUCUGGACUACAGGUCGCAAUUUCUCAAUCUCUGAUUCUGGACUUGCAUGUUCAUGUCACAGAGUUUUACCCUUAUUCCAAGGUGUAUGUCCCUUCUUGAACUGUGUCUUUCGUCUUGUAUUGCCUUCCAUGGAUGUGACUUGUAGUGUAUAAAACAGUGAAAUACUUAUUGUGGUAUGCAUGUCCACACUUAUAUAUACCAGGCCAUGUGUAAUGUCACCUUCAGUUUUGAAUGAAUGAAUGAAUGAAUGAAUGUUUAACGACACCCCAGCACGAAAAAUACAUCGGCUAUUGGGUGUCAAACUAUGGUAAUGCAAAUAAAUAAGUGAUGAUCAACAUCAAUAUAA
Molecule: long non-coding RNA, 1186 nt
Organism: Gigantopelta aegis
Lineage: Eukaryota; Metazoa; Mollusca; Gastropoda; Neomphalida; Peltospiridae
Exons: 6
Source: RefSeq, a predicted model, not a curated record